This is a long non-coding RNA of Xiphophorus hellerii (green swordtail), 1699 nucleotides long. RefSeq lists it as uncharacterized. Lineage: Eukaryota; Metazoa; Chordata; Actinopteri; Cyprinodontiformes; Poeciliidae. The transcript has 2 exons. The record is from RefSeq and is a predicted model, not a curated record.
GGAAAUAUGGCAGCGACAGAUAGCAGCUGUCAAUCAUAAUGACUGUCAGCCCUCGGUUUAACAAUCGCGGAUUUGCAGUGAACACUUUUUACAAGCGAGCGUGGCGUUCAUGUCGCCCAGCUGAUCUCAGAACAAGAGCAGCGUGUGUGAGAGCGAAGAGCGAGGAAGAGGAGGAGGAGGAGGAAGCAUAAGGCCAUCGCAUGUCAAAUGAAGUCAGGGCGGUGACGACUGCUUGGCUUUUUAGGUAGCCUACUGGGAUCAGAAACUGCUUCAGGCUGCUUUCUGUUCUGCCUGGUAAGUUUUUUAAAGCAUUUAAAUUUAGUUCAUACCACAUUAAUAAACUGCUGCAUCUAAAUCCCACAGUUUGAGUUUUUUGACAGCAGUAAAAUCAGAACUUUUUGUAGUUCAUGGGAUGAUGCAUACAUGCAAUUCCAGUUAAAAUGGAGAAUGUUUACAGCCAGCUUGUUUUAAAGUUUCAAUUAUUGUGUGUUUGUAGUUCUAUCAUGAUGCAGAUCUAAAACCUGACUGAAUGAUAACUGUUUAAGUUGGUUAAGAAUAAUCCAAAAAUGUGUGUCAACUGAUUAGUUGCAGAACUAAAAUAAAAUAACAGCAUGCACAAAUAAUAAGAAUAUCAAUUAGAGUAGAAUUUUACAUUCUUCAGAAACAAAAAACAUUACACUUUUUUUUUAAUUCUCAGUGACCAAAUGACGUCGCAGCCAGGAUGUGACAACAAGCUCAAUUCAAACGUUGUGCUGCCUUCUUGUCAGGCGUCUUCCUCCAUUGCACCGACGCUCUUAUUUAAUCUGGAAGCCAGCGCAGGUCAAGUGUUCGCUGUCAAACUGACAAACAUUAACCUGCCUCAGAACGUACGAGUUCAGUCACGCAGCUCCGUGAGCGAGACUGAAACUAACAGAGAACCUGAGGGUGAGCACCGAGUGUGAGUUUUAAUGAAGUGUGCAUCUGGCUCCUGAACAUGCCAGCAGAAACACCCCGGCCCCAGGGUGCAAAGUGCCAUCCUGAGGUCGUCUGGAUGAGUAGCAGCCCUCUAAAUGCUCGUGUGAAAGCAUCGGUUUGAAUAGACGAGGCUGGCAGAAAGCCAGCAUAACACGUUGGAAAGACGCCUUUAUAUGGGAAAUGCCCAGUUCAAAGUGUCUAUAGGCCACCUAAUAUGAUUCAUUCAACAAGUUACUAGAGAUUCAUGGGCUUUGCAAAACAUGUUCAUUACCACAAAAUAAUUCUUGGAUAAUAAGAUUUCAGUCUGCUCAGUUCUGCCUAUUUUGAGAUCUUUUCAGAAGGAGCUCAUUUUAGGGCCUCUGUCACUUUAAAUCCAAAGAAGCAGCUGCUGGCCACGCCCCAAAUUCAACAUUUACACUCACACAAGAAAUAGCUGCAAAAUGAUGCGUAUUUAUACAACCGUACAUCUUUGAAAAGCAGAAGUGAAGCCUCCUGCUCAACCAAAAAGAAUGCAGCAAGUGGUUUCUUGGGAAGUUCACAACAAAACAUUUGUCUUUUCCAGGAGUCAUUGUACAGGGCAUGCAGCGGUAAAACCAGCUGACCAAACAUGCUGGUGCUCAGCUUGUGUUGCUAGGCAACGGGGCUGGGCUAGGUAAUGGCGCAGUACCCAACGAAUGUGACUUACCAAUCUGGAGGUUUUUAAAACGUCUCAUUUUCCAGACACCAAAAAACAUCAAAAUAUUGC